GGCCUAACACAUGCAAGUCGAGCGGAAACGACACUAACAAUCCUUCGGGUGCGUUAAUGGGCGUCGAGCGGCGGACGGGUGAGUAAUGCCUAGGAAAUUGCCUUGAUGUGGGGGAUAACCAUUGGAAACGAUGGCUAAUACCGCAUAAUGCCUACGGGCCAAAGAGGGGGACCUUCGGGCCUCUCGCGUCAAGAUAUGCCUAGGUGGGAUUAGCUAGUUGGUGAGGUAAUGGCUCACCAAGGCGACGAUCCCUAGCUGGUCUGAGAGGAUGAUCAGCCACACUGGAACUGAGACACGGUCCAGACUCCUACGGGAGGCAGCAGUGGGGAAUAUUGCACAAUGGGCGAAAGCCUGAUGCAGCCAUGCCGCGUGUAUGAAGAAGGCCUUCGGGUUGUAAAGUACUUUCAGUUGUGAGGAAGGGGGUAGCGUUAAUAGCGCUAUCUCUUGACGUUAGCAACAGAAGAAGCACCGGCUAACUCCGUGCCAGCAGCCGCGGUAAUACGGAGGGUGCGAGCGUUAAUCGGAAUUACUGGGCGUAAAGCGCAUGCAGGUGGUUCAUUAAGUCAGAUGUGAAAGCCCGGGGCUCAACCUCGGAACUGCAUUUGAAACUGGUGAACUAGAGUACUGUAGAGGGGGGUAGAAUUUCAGGUGUAGCGGUGAAAUGCGUAGAGAUCUGAAGGAAUACCAGUGGCGAAGGCGGCCCCCUGGACAGAUACUGACACUCAGAUGCGAAAGCGUGGGGAGCAAACAGGAUUA
RNAcentral lists this ribosomal RNA (756 nucleotides) under Vibrio sp. AOH-47. RNAcentral's name for it is "bacterial SSU rRNA". It matches the Rfam family "Bacterial small subunit ribosomal RNA", at positions 45 to 780 of the family's 1533-position model. Lineage: Bacteria; Pseudomonadati; Pseudomonadota; Gammaproteobacteria; Vibrionales; Vibrionaceae. The record is from RNAcentral. RNAcentral also lists the same sequence under 1 other name.